This is a long non-coding RNA of Phyllostomus discolor (pale spear-nosed bat), 447 nucleotides long. RefSeq lists it as uncharacterized. The record is from RefSeq and is a predicted model, not a curated record. Lineage: Eukaryota; Metazoa; Chordata; Mammalia; Chiroptera; Phyllostomidae. The transcript is spliced from 2 exons.
AUUUUAAAAACUUAAACCCCCCCCAAAACCUAAAAGACCAUUAACUAUGAAAUGGGUGACCUAUCGUAUACAUAUCUUGCACAAUAACAGACGGCUAAAGAAAUCCAACAGGGCAUUGAUUUCAAAAUAAUAACAUCUAACAAAAGAAGUUACAUAAUUCCUAGAGAAUUCACCUAUUUAGAAAAAAAUUAAAAACAGGUAUAAUUAUAAUGAUAUAUAUUUUAUAUACUCUCUUGAAUGUAUAAAAUCUGUACCAACUUAACUAUAAAAAGUUUCUAAAUUUUAGAAUCUUUUUCUAAAAUUCUUUUGUUUAUGCAGUUUCAAUUCUGUAAGGGAUUAAACCUAAAUAUCUACUGGGCACUGUGUUGCAGGAUAACCAUCGAGAUCCCCAGGUAAAGCUGCUUUUGAAACCUGAUUUUUAAGGAAUACAUUUGACUCUACUAAUGG